This 3219-nucleotide long non-coding RNA is filed under the name Taeniopygia guttata (zebra finch). RNAcentral describes it as "lncRNA (ENSTGUG00000026887.1)". The record is from RNAcentral. Lineage: Eukaryota; Metazoa; Chordata; Aves; Passeriformes; Estrildidae.
CAGCAGAGCAUAAUCAGGACGACAUGAUCUUGGCUGUCUUCUUACUUUUCAUGCUCUCCAUCAUAUUCCUGAUACCACUUUCCCACAGCCAUGAGGUCUUGGGAGUGAAGUCACACCUGCCCUGCCUAGAGCCAGACAGAAGAGGCGUUCUGGGAGCAGUAGGAGGUGUCUUGUACAAACCACGGGCUGCACCGUGGUGCUGCAGUGGCAGAAGGCCAAGUGGAAGGAUCCCAGUGCUUCCUCCUGCAGGAUUCCUGCUCUCCUUGCAGGUGGUCUGGUGAGGAAGGUGACACCAAACCGCUCUCUAGAGCUCAGUGCAUUUUCUCCUGGCUGGCAGCUGGGGUCAGAGUGAGCUGUGUGUGCCCUCUGUGCCAUUCCAGGUGUCCCUGUCCCUGCCUUCAGUGGGGUUGCCAUGUCAGCACAGUCAUUUGGCUGACACUUGCCCUCCGUUCCAGACUGGAGGAAGGGCUUUAACCCAGCCUGAGCACUGUCACUUUUCACACUGGAACUUCCUAAGGUUCUUACCAUAAAUUUCCUUUUCUUUCUAAGGUAUAAAAGUCUCCCCCAAGCUUUAAUGUGUUGACAAGAGAUUCCAGCCAUUAAAUUCAAACAUCCCGAUCCUGCACUCUGAUUUUCUAAUGCAAGUUGUGGUGGAUCCAUGGAUUUCAGCAGCAUUUGUGUGAGCUCAGUUGUUUCAGCACUGUAAGAGUGGAAGUUGGUGAUAUGUUGGGGUCAAGCCAGCUCAGUCAGUGGGUGGCACAGAAGACAGAGCUCUUGUUUGCAGAUAAAUCAAAACAAGCACCGGGGAACCAGUUUCUGAAGGAGAAAAACACUCCUGAAUAAGGGCUAACUUUUAAUCAGAUUUUUAAAUUCCCAACUUGGUAUUUUUUAGCUUUAGAACUCCUUGAAGCCACUUUUUGAUAAUAAAACUGACCUACGGGCUGUUUCCUUGGAAGAAUUUAAUAUAGCCUUAAAUCAUAUCAGCACAAUUCUGAAAUGACAGGGUCAUUGUUCAGUGGUCAAAAUAAUGUGUAAAAAAUGUCUUCUAGUUUUUAACCAUUAGAUAACCUUGAGUAAUGAAAACAAGAGGGAAAAGGUUCUAUGCCUUCAUCCACAAUCUGACCAUAGCAAAACAUCCAGUGCAGGAAAAUAAGAUCAUUCCCUUCUGUUUCUGUAGUAUUCAAAAUGUCUGAUAAUUUGUUCUUAAUUUGCAACUGCUAUUCCAGUAAGUUGGUGUUUUUUGCCCAAAGUGAUGUGAGCUGCACAGUCUGCAUUUGCAGUGAUGUCCCCUUUAGUCCACACCAGAGCAAAAUGUUUAAAUGUUUGGUUUUCCCCUAUAAGCCGUUUCCUGAUCCACAUUUCUGUUGUGGCACUGUGCUGUUCCUGUUUCCAUACAAUGCCCAGGGCUGGAUGAAUGCUUCCCAAGUGUGGUUUCACCUGAGCCAUUAAGUGAGCAGUUCUGUUCCUUUGCUGUAGUCAUACCUCUGUAGGUGCAGCUUUUAAAGGUAUUGGCCUUUUUUGUAGCUUUAUUUAUUGAAAUGCUGCUCAGUUCUUGUCCCUCACUCUUAAAUUCCUGUCCAUCAUUUCUUGCAAUUCUUUCUUACAGAGUUUUUCACUCUGAAUUGCAAGGAUCAUUUUUAUAUUCAAUAUUUUUGUAUUUUCUUGGAAUCAAAUCCCUUCACUUGCCAUGAUGGUUGUUUACCUCCUGUUUUUACCUACACCUGCUGUCCUGCUGUUUGCUGCUGCAAGAAAAAAAACCCCAAAACCCCCCACAUUUGCCAGGCAGCCUGGAGCCUUUCACAGUGCAGUAGCAGCAGCCACAGCCUUGACCAGGUGGGCUUUGUCAUCUCUUAAAUCUCAUUUAUGUGGGGUAGGAAAUCUUUGUGCUACUGAUAGCAGUCUGGAAUUCUAAUAGGUUGUAGCUUAAUGGUUUUCUUUGGUUGGUUGUUGUUUGGGGUAUUUUUUCCCUUCAUUUUCUAUAUUGAACCAUUAUUCUACAGGUGAAUAAAAGCAGUAGGUUUUGCUGGAAUCUACUCUGGAAAAGAAGGCAGAUUGAAAAGUUGGACACUUAAUAUACUUGAUUGUAUUUAAAUAUCUGGUAGGUGCUUUAAAGUCCUCAGAAGGUCUUCUGGAAGCGAAUUCCAAAGCUUAGAAAUGUGAAGAUUAUUUCUUCAGGACUUACUGAUACUCACCAGUUCUAUCUGCCUGCCCUGUGUGUGACUAAGGACAGGUGAAACAGCAGAAAUGGGAAUAUUUUGCUGAAGGGAGAGUUGAUGCUGUGUGAAAUCCCUGGGGAACUGGAGAUGUGCUCUGCCUGGCCCCACACACCCCUCCGGCAGCAGCUGCUGAGCCACAGGGCUCCCCGGGCACCAGGAGCUGCUCCGAGCAGCAACUUCAGAUUAAGUAGCAUGUAAAGCAUUUUCUAUUCUUCUUCCUCUCUGAGAUCUGUACCGAGUCCAAUCCUCUGAGCAAAUAAAGGCAGGGAGUGGGCUGAGCGAGGGCCUUCGCAAGCUGCUUCUGUGAAUACUUUCUACCUCUUGUUCAUUGUGAGAGCUGCCCUGGGCCAGGCCAGGCUGCACAAAUACCUGCUGCGGCUGUUUGCUGGGCAGGCACGGGCAGUCCCUGCCUCCCUGGGGAUAAAUGGAAUCCUUUGAGGUACCUGUGUUUGCAUCCAAGUGAAGGAACUGGUGUUUUUCAGGUGGCACCAUGAGGAAUCGCAUUUCUCCUCAGCCUCUCGUGCUGCCUCCCGUGUGAAGUAGCUUCAAAUCCUCUCACAAUUAAUGUUCAAAUAACGCAGCAGUUGCAGGGAGGGAUUUGGUUUUCCAGCUGUUUGGUGAGGGUUUAGAAAGGGAAAUGUGGGAAUGUGAAAAGCUAGGAUUCUGCAGAUCAACCCAGGUGUUAAUCUAGAACAAAAAAAAAAUGUUACUGAUUGCUACUGUGGUUGUGUGUAAGACUGAAAUGCUGAAAGAGAACUGUAACCCUCCCACUCCGAGUCUGAGAGAGACCUGGCGUUGGCAUUCUGAACACUUCUGCAACCUGAACCAAAAACCUGCUGUGGGAAUGUAGACUUACCAUAGAGCUGUGGAAGAAAACUUCAAUCGUGUCACUUCUCUCGGUCUUCAGAGCAGUCAACAUGGUUUUGAUGUAGGUUUUAGAUUAUGUAUAUAUAAAUCUGAUUGAAGUACCAACAGCAAACCAUAAAUAAAAUGUGGACUUAAU